UGGGGGAUAUUGCACAAUGGGCGCAAGCCUGAUGCAGCGACGCCGCGUGGGGGAUGAAGGCCUUCGGGUUGUAAACUUCUUUUGCUCUGAACAAGGCGCACUUUGGGGUGUGUUGAGUGUAGGGGUUGAUUAGCGCCGGCUAACUACGUGCCAGCAGCCGCGGUAAUACGUAGGGCGCGAGCGUUGUCCGGAAUUAUUGGGCGUAAAGGGCUUGUAGGUGGCUGGUUGCGUCUGUCGUGAAAGCUCAUGGCUUAACUGUGGGUUUGCCGGGGGUACGGGCUGGCUUAAGUGCAGUAGGGGAAGCUAGAAUUCCUGGUGUAGCGGUGGAAUGCGCAGAUAACAGGAGGAAUACCGGUGGCGAAGGCGAGUCUCUGGGCUGUUACUGACACUGAGGAGCGAAAGCAUGGGGAGCGAACAGG
Molecule: ribosomal RNA, 419 nt
Filed under: bacterium
Lineage: Bacteria
Description: partial 16S ribosomal RNA
Rfam family: Bacterial small subunit ribosomal RNA
Source: RNAcentral